GACGAACGCUGGCGGCGUGCUUAACACAUGCAAGUCGAGCGGAAAGGCCCUGCUUGCAGGGUACUCGAGUGGCGAACGGGUGAGUAACACGUGGGUUAUCUGCCCUGCACUUCGGGAUAAGCCUGGUAAACUGGGUCUAAUACCGGAUAGGAGCCAUUUUUAGUGUGAUGGUUGGAAAGUUUUUUCGGUGUAGGAUGAGCUCGCGGCCUAUCAGCUUGUUGGUGGGGUAAUGGCCUACCAAGGCGGCGACGGGUAGCCGGCCUGGGAGGGUGGACAGCCACCUUGGGACUGAGGUACGGCCCAGACUCCUACGGGAGGCAGCAGUGGGGAAUAUUGAACAAUGGGCGCCAGCCUGAUGCAGCGACGCCGCGUGGGGGAUGACGGCCUUCGGGUUGUAAACUCCUUUCGCUAGGGACGAAGCUUUUUGUGACGGUACCUAGAUAAGAAGCACCGGCUAACUACGUG
Molecule: ribosomal RNA, 465 nt
Filed under: uncultured bacterium
Lineage: Bacteria
Description: partial 16S ribosomal RNA
Rfam family: Bacterial small subunit ribosomal RNA
Source: RNAcentral